Nerophis ophidion (straightnose pipefish) is the source of this 1375-nucleotide long non-coding RNA. RefSeq lists it as uncharacterized. The transcript is spliced from 8 exons. The record is from RefSeq and is a predicted model, not a curated record. Lineage: Eukaryota; Metazoa; Chordata; Actinopteri; Syngnathiformes; Syngnathidae.
AUAAAAUGGAGUUUAACGUAAUUAAAUAGACCAAUGUUUUUUAACAUUGGAAAAUAGUUCAUUAUAAACAACAGUUAAAUGUUUUUUGUUAUUAAUUGCAACCAGAUUUGAUUUUAUGAGGUUAAAUAAAGCAUUUCAGUUCUGGGCCAAGGCCAAGGCAUUUAAAUUUAUUUUUUUUAAGUUGCAUGGAAGAUUAUAAGCAGCAGUGAUUGUCACACACUAGGUGUAGUGAAAUUAUUCUCUGCAUUUGACUCAUCACCCUUGAUCACUAUGCUAGUAAACCUUUUCUUAAUUUUAAACAAGACAGUCUAGAGUAAUUCAAAUUGUUUAUACUUUUUCUCAAAUACAAAUAUUUCAAGCUGAUAAGCACUGUGGAGUUGGCAUGUUACUGAUAUUGUUACAUUAGUUCUUUGUUUGAGAAGCUUCAUGUCUGCACUGAGCCUAAAUUUAACAGUUUUUGAAGGGUUUAGUUCUUUGUUUUAUUUCUGUGUCACUGACUUUUUUCAUUUUUAUGUGUGGAUUUGUUAGGCGCAUCAACACAUGAUAUAGACAUCGUGCCCAAAAGAAGAGCGAGACGUAAUCCUGAGGCUGAAGCCACCGAGUUUAUUUGAUCUGGAUGUGACAAGUCUUGUUUUAAGGCCCAGUGGAUCAAUGAUUGGAAAGACACCAACUGUUGAUGUUCUAUCUCAACAUUCUCCAGAUUCAUGUGACCGAUAAACCGACUUCAUCCCUCCAACAGACACCAACUGUUGGGGUUCUAUCUCAACAUUCUCCAGAUUCAGAUGUGAGCGAUAAACCGACUUCAUCCCUCCAACAGACACCAACUGUUGGGGUUCUAUCUCAACAUUCUCCAGAUUCAGAUGUGAGCGAUAAACCGACUUCCUCCCUCCAACAGAAACCAACUGUUGAGGUUCCAUCUCAACAUUCUCCAGAUUCAGAUGUGAGCCAUUAACUGACUUCAUCCCUCCAACAGAAACCAACUGUUGAGGUUCUAUCUCAACAUUCUCUAGAUUCAGAUGACAGCCAUAAACCGACUUCAUCCCUCCAACAGAUUGACAGCAGGACAAAUCGCUGGAAGUAGGUAUGUCUCAAGCUUCUUCCACUUGGUCCACUCCAAAGCGGGCUGCAAAGGGGAAGAAGUGGAAGCAGUUGAAUGACACAUGUUGCAUUUUGUAACUGGCAACAAAGUACCAGGUAAAAAAGAUUGUGAAGCCUGCCUCCAUAAAGAACUAGUAGCUCUACAGGACAGAGAUUGGCUUGCCAUCAAGUACUACAUCCAUAACAGAAUUAUAUUAAAAAAAGGGGAAAAAAAUGUUUUCCCACAUCUUCUGUGGUAGUUUGAGUAUGUUACCAGCAAUUAAAAAAGCAAAAUAAA